UAUAUAUUAGUGUAAGAGGCACAAAAAGUUUUGAUUUUUUAAGGAGGGGUUGAAUUCCCCUGUAUGUAU
This 69-nucleotide transfer RNA is filed under the name Potamiscus yiwuensis. Its description in RNAcentral is "tRNA-Gln". The record is from RNAcentral. Lineage: Eukaryota; Metazoa; Arthropoda; Malacostraca; Decapoda; Potamidae. RNAcentral also lists the same sequence under 1 other name.